CAGCUAUAAAGUUAGUUUUGUUGUGCUGCAGUCACUUCCAUGUUUGAGAUUAGCACCAUAAUUACGGUUCCAAAUUUCUUUAGUAAUUACACUUCUGGCCUCCUUAUCUAUAAUUUAGAGACCAUGGAGAGACAUUGGUGGAAAGAGACAAUUCAUCACAUAUCUCCUCCUCCACCCUAAGAUGUGGAGGAGCUGCUCCAGUCACCAGCACUGUAACCCACAGACAGGAGGCCAAGACCCACCACCCACCCACCAGCCUGUGUCAGCUUCCAAUGCUAUGUCUGCUAACACGACAAGAUUUUGGGGAAUGACAGAGGCUGGUAACUAAUGGGAAUGUGUUCCAAGCAACUAAGAGAUUCCACCUUCCCAAUGAAAUGAGGAUUUUUGAGCUAAUAUAGUCUUAACACAAAUAAGUAAUAGUAAUUAAGAUGAAAUUUUAAAGAUUACUAAUAGAAAUCUAUAUUUAACAUCACUAAUACUAA
This 482-nucleotide long non-coding RNA is filed under the name Chinchilla lanigera (long-tailed chinchilla). RNAcentral's name for it is "lncRNA (ENSCLAG00000023336.1)". Lineage: Eukaryota; Metazoa; Chordata; Mammalia; Rodentia; Chinchillidae. The record is from RNAcentral.